Molecule: ribosomal RNA, 253 nt
Filed under: uncultured bacterium
Lineage: Bacteria
Description: partial 16S ribosomal RNA
Rfam family: Bacterial small subunit ribosomal RNA
Source: RNAcentral
UACGUAGGCAGCGAGCGUUGUUCGGAAUUACUGGGCGUAAAGAGUGUGUAGGCGGUUCUCUAAGUCUGUUGUGAAAUCUCCCGGCUCAACUGGGAGGGUGCGGCGGAAACUGGAGUGCUCGAGUGUGGGAGAGGUAAGCGGAAUUCCUGGUGUAGCGGUGAAAUGCGUAGAUAUCAGGAGGAACACCGGUGGCGAAGGCGGGUCUCUGGGCCGAUACUGACGCUGAGGAGCGAAAGCGUGGGGAGCGAACAGG